Molecule: RNA transcript, 2612 nt
Organism: Mus musculus (house mouse)
Lineage: Eukaryota; Metazoa; Chordata; Mammalia; Rodentia; Muridae
Gene name: RIKEN cDNA 9130213A22 gene
Exons: 3
Source: RefSeq, a predicted model, not a curated record
UGGGAGCCCUGGAUCUACGGCCUCGGGCCGGGGCGGUUUGGGGCGCCGGUAGCCGUGCAGCGCGGAGAAAAGCUGGGAGCGUGCGGCCGGGCUGGCGUCGUGCGCAAAGGCCGCCAAGCGAAGCAGGCACUCGCGGAAGCCGGACAAGUAGCAGCUGGCGAGCGCCUCGGCGUCCUGGCCUGGGGACCGGGGAACCCCUGGAGCAGCAGCCUCAGCUCUUCUAGGCUGCGGUUGAUGCGGUCCCGGCGCCGCUUCUCCACCAACGGCUUCAGCAUCUGUGACCAGCGGGAAAGGAAGAGCGGGCCGACCGGACCGAGACUCAGCGCCGCCGCGCAAGCGUCCGAUCCUGCCGCUGGGAAAACCCCCCAUGCGCCCCUUUCCCCUAAUCCCAGGCUGCUUGGGUCUGGUCCAUUCGUUUCCCUCUCACUCCCUGCUACUUCCCAGUCCCUUGGGUCGCUUUCCGUGGCUCGCCCACUUCUCCCUGCCCUUUCUGUGUUCAGCUUUCUCCUCUCUUCUCCCCUCUAUGGCACUCUUCUUUUCUCUUUAUAUCUCUAUCUUGUGUCGUCUCCCUCUCAGUGUAUCACUGAAGAACUUUAGGGCCACUCUUUGCCCCCAGGCUAGUGAGCCGCGCGAUAGAGACCUAAGGUGAAAGGCAGACACACAGUGCGACCACACCUCCUCUUCUCACUCAAACCCUUCACUCGUUCUCCUAAUAUCUCUCACCUGGCCUCGCACCUCCGGAACCAACGACUCAAAGGUCUUCUCUUUGAGUCAGAUGUGGGUUCCCAGGCGCUUACAGACAGCGUCCAUAGCCUUUCCUCUAUUUUUGUUUCCACCCUCCUCCACCAGCUAUGGCCUCUAGCUUAUCUCAUGUUAUAGUAUAGCUUCGUGGGGUUUUGUUUGUUUGUUUUAUUUUGGUUUGGUUUUUGUUUGUUUGUUUGUUUGUUUUUUCGGUAGGGGUGCACUCUGUGGCCUCGAACUUGCGAUAAUCCACCUGCCCCAGCUUCCCGAGCCCUAGAAUAGGCCACGAUGCCCAAAUUCUGGCACUUUCCUAGCCACAAGCCUUAGCCCACAAUAAUGCAAACCCCUAGACCUCCGCUUCCGCAGCCCGCGCAAGUUGGGCUCUGACCCUGCCCUCUUUAUACUUUACAGGUUCUUUCGGUCUUUUCACUCUUGUGUCUCCAUCCUCAUUCCUAGCCCACAGAGUUAGAACCUUUAAGUCCUCUGGCCUGAACAGGGACCCUAUUUCCCUCCCUUCCCACCUCUCACCUUGGGGCCGUCCCUAUUCUCAGCUCGCUCCCGGGUGACCAUUGCUCCUCCGGACCCUUCGGUGGACUCAGCGCGUGCUGCCUAGAUCCUUAUAUCCCGCCGCUGCAGGGUGCAGAGCAGAUCUACCGGAUUCUACUGGCUGGCUGUGGGAAAAGACGGCGCCGUUGUAUCUGUCUCUUCUACUCAAUUCCCACAAUAACUCCAGUACUUAUCCCUGCAGACGUAGUAAUAAGGAGAAUCUGCCGCCAAACUGACUCUAUAGAUACUGUGACUUGAGUCCCCGGGAACAGAUUUUCCUAAGGAUGGCUGGACUAAGGGAGGACAAAGGAAACUUCUAGGGGGAAAAAAAUCCUUGAAGUAUACGUGAGUGAAGAAAUCUUUCCAUUCACUACCCUUGAUCUUAGUUAGCCAAGAGGCCGAGAAGCGAUACCUUUCCGUUUACAAGAACUUGGUUUAAAACUAAAUUCAGGAGUACAGCUGGCAGGAAAACAUAGAGUGCACCAGUUGGUGGGCGCUCUGGAGGCCUCUAGGGACUGUAGGGGAGCAGGGAGACGUGAGAUUUGCUAAAGGGACAAGAAAGGUUUGGUUGCAAAAUGGGAUCUUCACCCACCUCAAACAAAGAGCAUGACCUCUCAGAAGGAUGGAUAUGUCAACACCUGGAGACUUCAGGGCGAAGUGCCUGAGAAGGUAAAAUCGAAAUUUAACACGACAAGAAGGCCUGGGGAAAGGACAUAAUAAAGACAGGGCUACAAACCGAGCCAGAAGAUAGCUGUGGAGUCAGAGACAAAGUGGAACCCCUUCCCAGAGGCCCUCCACAUCCUGAGAGGGUUUUCUGGCAAGAGGCUGCCUUGCCAAAGGCAGAGCAGGAGGGGCCCGGUACUUGAGAAAGGAGGCACCCAUUUGGGGUUAGGGCCCUCAGUACAUCCCACCUUCCCCUACUUCAGCCAAAUGGAAGCACAGAUGUGUGGUCCCAGCAGGCCCCACCGCCCCCCUCCUUGGGAACCAGGAUUGGGGUUGAGUUUUUCUCACCUGCACGUGAGGCUCGGGGCCUGAGGCAGUUUGCACCCGGGUGUGGGGCCGCCCCUGGCCAUAUGGAAUGACUUUAUGGCCCGGUGGCCGGAUCCAACGGAGAGAAAAAAAUGGCCUGACGCUCCACCCACCUCAAUGAUUCUCUACAACCUUUUCCCACACCUAGAAGUAGGAUUGGAUCUGCCUCUGAGAAGUUCACAUAGGCUUAUUAUGACCUCUCUCCUUGUCUGCAUUGGUGGUUCAGUGGUAGAAUUCUCGCCUGCCACGCGGGAGGCCCGGGUUCGAUUCCCGGCCAAUGCACAGUUCUAGCUUUU